UACGUAGGGGGCAAGCGUUGUCCGGAUUUAUUGGGCGUAAAGAGCGUGUAGGCGGCCAUACAGGUCAGCUGUGAAAACUCGAGGCUCAACCUCGAGAUGCCGAUGGAAACCGUCUGGCUAGAGUCCGGAAGAGGAGAGUGGAAUUCCUGGUGUAGCGGUGAAAUGCGCAGAUAUCAGGAAGAACACCCGUGGCUAAGGCGGCUCUCUAGUACGGUACUGACGCUGAGACGCGAAAGCGUGGGGAGCGAACAGG
This 253-nucleotide ribosomal RNA is filed under the name uncultured bacterium. RNAcentral's name for it is "partial 16S ribosomal RNA". It matches the Rfam family "Bacterial small subunit ribosomal RNA", at positions 524 to 776 of the family's 1533-position model. The record is from RNAcentral.